GGGAACUGCAUCUGAUACUGUUAAGCUAGAGUAGGUGAGAGGGAAGUAGAAUUCCAGGUGUAGCGGUGAAAUGCGUAGAGAUCUGGAGGAAUACCGAUGGCGAAGGCAGCUUCCUGGCAUCAUACUGACACUGAGGCUCGAAAGCGUGGGUAGCAAACAGGAUUAGAUACCCUGGUAGUCCACGCCGUAAACGAUGUCUACUAGUCGUUGGGUCCCNUGAGGACUUAGUGACGCAGCUAACGCAAUAAGUAGACCGCCUGGGGAGUACGGCCGCAAGGUUAAAACUCAAAUGAAUUGNCGGGGGCCCGCACCAGCGGUGGAGCAUGUGGUUUANUUNGAUGCAACGCGAAGAACCUUACCUGGUCUUGACAUACACAGAAUCUUGUAGAGAUACGAGAGUGCCUUCGGGAAUUGUGAUACAGGUGCUGCAUGGCUGUCGUCAGCUNGUGUCGUGAGAUGUUGGGUUAAGUCCCGCAACGAGCGCAACCCUUGUCCUUAGUUACCAGCGGGUUAAGCCGGGAACUCUAAGGAUACUGCCAGUGACAAACUGGAGGAAGGCGGGGACGACGUCAAGUCAUCAUGGCCCUUACGACCAGGGCUACACACGUGCUACAAUGGUAGGUACAGAGGGCAGCUACACAGCGAUGUGAUGCGAAUCUCAAAAAGCCUAUCGUAGUCCAGAUUGGAGUCUGCAACUCGACUCCAUGAAGUAGGAAUCGCUAGUAAUCGCGGAUCAGAAUGCCGCGGUGAAUACGUUCCCGGGCCUUGUACACACCGCCCGUCACACCAUGGGAGUUGAUUGCACCAGAAGUGGUUAGCCGA
RNAcentral lists this ribosomal RNA (822 nucleotides) under Psychrobacter celer. RNAcentral describes it as "bacterial SSU rRNA". It matches the Rfam family "Bacterial small subunit ribosomal RNA", at positions 616 to 1437 of the family's 1533-position model. The record is from RNAcentral. Lineage: Bacteria; Pseudomonadati; Pseudomonadota; Gammaproteobacteria; Moraxellales; Moraxellaceae.